Molecule: ribosomal RNA, 56 nt
Filed under: Saprolegnia litoralis
Lineage: Eukaryota; Oomycota; Saprolegniomycetes; Saprolegniales; Saprolegniaceae
Description: partial 18S ribosomal RNA
Rfam family: Eukaryotic small subunit ribosomal RNA
Source: RNAcentral
UUUGGUAGGUGAAGUCGUAACAAGGUUUCCGUAGGUGAACCUGCGGAGGAUCAUUA